This 492-nucleotide ribosomal RNA is filed under the name uncultured bacterium. RNAcentral's name for it is "partial 16S ribosomal RNA". It matches the Rfam family "Bacterial small subunit ribosomal RNA", at positions 29 to 507 of the family's 1533-position model. The record is from RNAcentral.
AUUGAACGCUGGCGGCAUGCUUUACACAUGCAAGUCGAACGGUAACAGGCCUUCGGGUGCUGACGAGUGGCGAACGGGUGAGUAAUGCAUCGGAACGUACCCAGAGGUGGGGGAUAACGCAGCGAAAGCUGUGCUAAUACCGCAUGUGAUCUGAGGAUGAAAGCGGGGGACCGAGCAGCAAUGUUUGGCCUCGCGCCUUUGGAGCGGCCGAUGUCGGAUUAGCUAGUUGGUGGGGUAAAGGCCUACCAAGGCGACGAUCCGUAGCUGGUCUGAGAGGGCGACCAGCCACACUGGGACUGAGACACGGCCCAGAGUCCUACGGGAGGCAGCAGUGGGGAAUUGUGGACAAUGGGCGCAAGCCUGAUCCAGCAAUGCCGCGUGCGGGAAGAAGGCCUUCGGGUUGUAAACCGCUUUUGGCAGGAACGAAACGGUGUCCGCUAAUACCGGGCGCUAAUGACGGUACCUGCAGAAUAAGCACCGGCUAACUACGUG